CGAAGACUAGUUUUAAAUAUAUUAAAUUUCACAUUUACAAUUGAAGUGAUCAGUACUAACAAAAAUGUUAUUGCAGAUUACAUAUCAAGACAAAGCUACACAGACUGAAAUAGUAGAGGAAGAUACUCUAGAAAAAAUACUUAACACCCUAACUACGCUUUCAAUGAAAGUGGACAGUAUGGGUAAUGAGAUAGAAAAGCUAAAGACUAAUGAAGAUAAACUGAAGUCUAUAGCUACAAAUCAGCUAACUCAGCAAUGUGCAGAGCUAUGUCGAUCGAAAGACAUUAAAAAUCCAGAGCUAGAAGGAGACGUUGGGACACUCCAUAAAACCCAUAACAUUUAUCAAUCUACUUCUGCAGGUACAAGCAAAGGAGUUAAUAGACCAAGAUACCAGAAUGUAAAUAUGAACAAAAUAUUUGAAAAACCAUUUACCCCAAAAGCACAAAAAGACCAUUUAUUCAUACCCCCACAAGUUAACACAUACCGAGACAGCCUAAACCAAGACAAGAAAAUAUACAACUACACAGCCCAAAAAUACAUAGAAAAUAUAUAUAGAGUCCAAACCUUUCUAAACCAUAACCCCAGAGCUACAAAUAUCCAAGAACCAAAUACCAAUUAUAUAACCCAAAAACUACAAGGAUACAAUAAACUGAUAGCACUACCCAAAACUAACCCAAGCCUAGUUAAAACUUGUUUUGACUAUGGACUACUAAAUACCAUAUACACCCAAGACGGAGAAGAGCUAACAGCUAUGGAGGAAUUAUAUAAGAUAUUCACUACCUAUAAAAGAAUAACAAAAGGAAAUUUAUUUUAUAUAAAGUGUUAUACUGCACCAGCAGAGAUAUUAUAUGAUGAGAUAAAACCAGUGAUACAAGUUGUAAAGAUAGGACUGACAAGAGAUAUGAUUAUACCAGAAGAUAUAUCGCAACAACCGGAGAUACCUAGAAUCGAGAUACCAGAUUUUUAUGCAAAUAAAAGACUUAUUGGACUAGCUACGAUCAUACAAGAACUAGCAAAUAACUACGCUAACGGAAAUCCAAUAUGGAGCUACUAUUCAAGAGAUCACCAAAUGAUAUAUUCAAAUUCGAAAGAACUAAGACAAGCAGAUAUGGAAGACGUAAGACAAUGGAUACUGACGCUACUUAACCCAGAAAAACAAUCUACCGCGCGAGCAAUAAAAAAGGGAUUUAUUUCAGACGGACUGCUAACAAGAUACUGUAAGAUAAUCGGACAUAAAUAUCCAGACCACCAAUGUUCGAGGUGCAAUGGAGAAGAUAAUAUUAUUCCAGAGGUACAUCUAGAAUAAAAGAAGAUAAAAUGCCAGCUGGAAAGAUAAGAUAAAGAGCAAUAAUGGAGCAGAUACAGAGCAAUAAUGGAGCAGAUACAGAGCAAUAAUGGAGCAGAUACAGAGCAAUAAUGGAGCAGAUAAAGAGCAAUAAUAGAGCAGAUACGACAAAAAUCAACGGAGACAAGAUACUGUACAAAGACAGAAUUAUUAUUAAUGUAGCAAAAGUCUUACUUGUAAUAGUAGAACAUUAAUUAGGAUGUAGAAAAACUUUACGUAAAAGUUAGAAUAGUUAAGAAAAGAUAGAAUAGGAUAGGCCUUAUGGCCACCAUUUUUGACUUUUUUGGUUUUAGUUUCAGAAAGUAAAACACAAAACUACUAUAAAAAUUGAAUUAAUAGAUAAGAAUAGCAUAAUAACACAAAAACCAUUAACAUAUAAUUUUGAUGAUUUAAAAGAAUUUAAAAUGCACAUAGAUGAAUUAUUAGAAAAACAAUAUAUACAAAAAAGUAAUAGUAAACAUAAUAGUCCAGCAUUUAUAGUAAAUAAACAUAGUGAACAAAAAAGAGGAAAAAGUAGGAUGGUUAUUGACUAUAGAAAUUUAAAUGCAAAAACUAUAACAUAUAAUUAUCCGAUACCAAAUAAGAUAUUAAAAAUAAGACAAAUCCAAGGAUAUAAUUAUUUUAGCAAAUUUGAUUGUAAAUCAGGAUUUUACCACCUAAAGCUAGAAGAAGAAUCUAAAGAAUUAACCGCAUUUACGGUACCACAAGGAUUUUAUGAAUGGAACGUGUUACCAUUUGGAUAUAAAAAUGCACCAGGUAGAUAUCAACAUUUUAUGGAUAAUUAUUUUAAACAAUUAUCUAAUUGUAUAGUAUACAUAGAUGAUAUAUUAUUAUACACCAAAACCAAAGAAGAACAUUUAAAAUUAUUAGAACAAUUCACAGAUAUAAUAGAAAAAUCAGGAAUAAGUCUAAGCAAAAAGAAAGCUGAAAUUAUGAAAAACCAGAUAGAAUUUUUAGGAAUACAAAUAGAUAAAAGUGGAGUAAAAAUGCAACAACAUAUAGUACAAAAAAUAAUAAAUUCGAAAGAAGAAUUAGAUACAAAAAAGAAAUUACAAUCAUUUUUAGGAUUAGUAAACCAAGUAAGAGAAUAUAUUCCAAAAUUAGCAGAAACUUUAAAACCACUACAGAAAAAAUUAAAAAAGGAUAUAGAAUAUAAUUAUGAUGAAAAAGAUAAAAAACAAGUUCAAAAAAUAAAAUUACUUUGUAGAGAAUUACCAAAAUUGCAAUUUCCAGAUGAAAAUAGAAAAUUUAUAUAUAUAGUAGAAGCAGAUGCUAGUGAAUAUAGUUACGGAGGAGUACUUAAAUAUCGAUAUGAAGCAGAAAAAAUAGAACACCAUUGUAGAUACUACUCAGGUACGUUCAACGAGACAGAAAUAAAAUGGGAAAUAAAUAGGAAAGAAUUAUGUUCAUUAUAUAAAUGUUUAUUAGCAUUUGAGCCAUAUAUUGUAUAUAACAAAUUUAUUGUACGAACAGAUAAUACACAGGUACGUUGGUGGUUAACAAAGAAAAUACAAAAUUCAGUUACAACAAAAGAGAUUCGGAGACUAGUCUUGAAUAUAUUAAAUUUCACAUUUAUAAUUGAAGUAAUUAGUACUAACAAAAAUGUUAUUGCAGAUUAAAUAUCAAGACAAAGCUACACAGACUGAUAUAAUAGAAGAAGAUACUCUAGAAAAAAUACUCAACACCCUAACCACGCUUUCAAUGAAAGUGGACAAGUGGACAGUAUGGGUAAUGAGAUAGAAAAGCUAAAGACUAAUGAAGAUAAACUGAAAUCUAUAGCUACAAAUCAGCUAACUCAGCAGUGUGCAGAGCUAUGUC
Molecule: long non-coding RNA, 3163 nt
Filed under: Capsicum annuum
Lineage: Eukaryota; Viridiplantae; Streptophyta; Magnoliopsida; Solanales; Solanaceae
Description: long non-coding RNA (CANN_LNC015775)
Source: RNAcentral